UGAUGUGGAAGAUAGCCCCUCCUUCUUCUCGCAACACAGUUGCUACUAGCAACCUAACGCUGGCCUCAUAGCUGCUCUGUGAAGUGUUGGUCGUCUCAGCUGUAGGGAUGUCAGACAUAGCUAAAGACAAGGCAGCUCGUCUCCUGAAGAAAAGGGGAAGUAUAUCAUCGCUGGGUAGCCAUGAUGUGAAACCAAGAGGCAGCUUCAGCAAAACCAAAGACUCUGUGAGCACAGUAUCUUACAUAGACGAACCGGGCCACCAUGAUGACAUUCAGCGCCCUGCGAUCCUGAUGGAAAACACUUAUCAGACAGGGCCUACAAAACGUUUUCCAGUAGCAUCCGUAAAUAAUAUUUUAAAGGAUGUCCUUACAAGUUAUCUUCAGGAAGAGAAAUAUGAAGCAGAGCUGUGCAGACAAAUGACAAAGACCAUCUCUGAGGUUAUUAAAGCACGAGUAAAAGAUCUGAUGAUCCCCAGGUAUAAGAUUAUUGUGCUGAUUUACAUUGGCCAACUGAAUGACCAAAGCAUGCGUGUUGGAAGCAGAUGCAUCUGGGACCCAGCAAAUGACACUUUUUCCUCCUACUCGUUCAAGAAUAGCUCUCUGUUUGCACUUGCAAAUGUCUAUGGGGUGUACUAUGAAUAACACACGCAAAUUAAUUAUAUCCAAUACUUUUAACAAAUCUUAAGUAUAGCAACUUGCAGGAACACUGAACCAAACUAUAUUCCUUCCCCCGGCAGCUGUGGCCAGCAACUUCCCAGAUACUACAUGGCAGAUGACUGAGUCCCUGGCUUACAGGGUUUUACAGUUCUGCUGGAUAUUUUGCAUUAAGACUAGAACAUGAGCAUCCGCUGAUCUGCUUGUUAAAGGGUAGUUCACUUUUAAUAUAAUGUAGACUAUGACGUUCCAAGACAAUUUGCAUUUCAUCUUCAUUUUUUUGUGGUUGUUAAAUUGUAUAGUUUUUGGUUCAGAAGAUCUACAGUUAGGAAUUUCAGCAACUAUCUGAAUGACAGACUGGAAGAUGAAUAUAAGAGUACCUGAAUAGAAUGAUGAGUAAUAAAUAGUAACAAUAAUAAUACAGUUGUAGCCUCACAAAGCAAUAUAUUUUGAUUACCAGGAUCACUGGAGGCAGAAGGCUAAUUAAAAAGUUGUUAAGAGUAGGUGAUUCUAAAACAUACUAAAAGUUAAUGUAAAGGUGAACUACCCAUUUGAGCUUAACCUUUGACAGUGUUCUUUUUUGUGCAUUUCUGCAUCACCCCUAACCAGCAAUGUGCCCAAUGUACUUACUGAAAUGUUAUUUAUAUGUACUUUUUCUAUGAUGCUGUAGACACUGGUAUUCUAAUAUAAUGUACAGCUGGUAUUUAUUUUCUGUUCUGCAGAUUUUCAUUUUAAAAUUCAAACAGUUACCUAUCUGUUAGGGUCCCAGAGCCAGUAAGACUAAUUGUAGAGUGUUUAGAUAAAAUAAUUGAAAAAAUAUUAUAACUGGAAGAGGUAAUGCAAUAAAGUCUAAAAGUUUGCACCGUCUAGUACACCAUAGCAACCAUUCAGUAUGUAGCAUUAACUGGUAACGUGUUUUAAAGCAGACAUCAAAGUGCUGUGGAUUACUAGACCAUUAGUGCAAAUGUUGCUACAUUAAAUAAUAACAGACUUGGCUCACAGUGAAUCUCAUUUGUAAUUGUUGGGCAUUGCUCCAUUGUAAAUUCCAAGGUAGGGAAAGACAUAAUGCAGAGUAUAACAAAUAAAAAGGAAAAAUGUGA
This is an RNA transcript of Xenopus tropicalis (tropical clawed frog), 1753 nucleotides long. It is a transcript of the gene named dynein light chain Tctex-type family member 5, with no coding region annotated. Lineage: Eukaryota; Metazoa; Chordata; Amphibia; Anura; Pipidae. The transcript is spliced from 6 exons. The record is from RefSeq and is a predicted model, not a curated record.